Molecule: long non-coding RNA, 1030 nt
Filed under: Gadus morhua (Atlantic cod)
Lineage: Eukaryota; Metazoa; Chordata; Actinopteri; Gadiformes; Gadidae
Description: lncRNA (ENSGMOG00000031409.1)
Source: RNAcentral
GGCGAAAACCGCAUUGUUCCUCUUCAAUCCGAGGUUCGACGAUCGGCCGAACCCUCCUUUCCAGCACCUUUGAAUAGACUUUACCAGGGAGGCUGAGAAGUGUGAUACCCCGGUAAUUGGCACACACUCUCUGGUCCCCCUUUUUGAACAGGGGAACCACCACCCCGGUUUGCCACUCCUUUGGCACUGUACCCGACUCCCACGCGAUGUUGAAUGGGCGUGUCAACCAUGACAGCCCCUCAACACCCAGAGCCUUUAGCAUUUCUGGCUGGAUCUCAUCAAUCCCUGGGGCUUUGCCACUACGGAGAUGUUUGACUACCUCAGUGACCUCCACGAGGGAAAUUGACGACAAAACACCAUCAACCUCGAGCUCUGCCUCCAACAUAGAGGGCGUGUUAUUCGGAUUCAGGAGUUCCUCAAAGUGUUCCUUCCAACGUCCGACGACCUCCUCAGUUGAGGUCAACAGAGUCCCAUCCUUACCAUACACAGCUUGGAUGGUUCCCCGUUUCCCCCCCCUGAGGUGCCGGAUAGUCUUCCAGAAACACUUUGGUGCCGACCGAAAGUCCUUCUCCAUGGCCUCUCCGAACUUCUCCCACACCCGCUGCUUAGCCUCCGACACGGCAGCAGCUGCAGCCCUUCGAGCCUGUCGGUACCCUGCAACCGAGUCAGGAGUCCUCCAGGAUAUCAUAUCCCGGAAGGCCUCCUUCUUCAAUCGGACGGCUUCCCUGACCACCGGUGUCCACCACGGUGUCCGAGGGUUACCGCCCCUUGAGGAGCCUAAGACCCUGAGGCCACAGCUAGCCACCGCAGCUUCAGCAAUGGAGGCUUUGAACACCGCCCACUCCGGCUCAAUGCCCCCAACCGCCACAGGAAUGCCAGAAAAACUCCGCCGGAGGUGUGAGUUGAAGAAACCCAGGAGGGGGCCUCCUCCAGACGUUCCCAGUUCACCCGCACUACUCGUUUGGGCUUACCAGGUCUAUCCGGAAAAUUCCCCCAUUCCCUGAUCCAACUCACAACCAGAUGGUGGUCG